CCUUUGUUCGUCGCCUAGCAAACUCUCUUUUGUGGGGUCUCUAGCUUUUCUAGUGGGGCCUUAUUGACCUAAGAGUGCCCUUGGACUGAUUUGCCAUUAGUAAGGAAGGGAAGAUCUUUACGUAUAAUAUUAAGAGGAUGCUAUCAUCAUGAAUCGCAACAACUUAAUAGACACAAAGUAAUAUAGAGAAUCCAACUUGACUUCCCCACCGUCGACACCAUAAGCUCUGCAUCACUGUGCUACCGCGUAUGAGAUAGUUAUACAUCUCCUGGCAAAACCAUCAACCAAAAGUGGAAUUAUCACCCUAAUAAUGGUUAAGGAGUAUGGGCAAAAGAACCCUAAUAAUGGUUAGGAGUAUGGGCAAAAGUAGGGAGCCGACCUGGGGAUGAGAAGGCGAGCGCUGUGGAGCAGUGAUAAGAGCGGGCCCGGAAGCAAUAACAGAUUUGGUGAGUUGAUCGCAACCCUCGCAGUCGAGCCUCAGGCAGGAGAUGCGAACCUAAAGAACUCUGAUAGGAUAAGGAAGGAGAUGCGAACCUAAAGAACCUACCCAGAAAAGAUCACAUGCCUUUAGAACACCUACCCACUUAUAAACACUAUUCCUUUCAUUUAUUGCUGCUAAUACACUAUUAAACACUAUUCCUUUCUUAUAAACACUAUUGUCAAAUACUAUCUUGCUUUGCUUGUAUUCCAAUUGCAGCCCAUAGACACAGGCACAUUCACUGAGGAAGAAGAGAAAGAGAAAGGAAGGAGAGAUAAGAGAAGGUGAUGCUGGGAGAGUGAGGCAGAGAGAGAUAAGAGAAGUGAUGCUGGGAGAGUGAGGCAGAGAGAGAGCCCAAAAGAGAGAGAGAGAUGGGUAGGAGGAAGAUAGAGAUAAAGAAGAUAUAGAACCCAACAAACAGGCAAGUAACAUACUAACAGAGGAGGACAGAGGAAUCAUGAAGAAGGCCAAGGAGCGGCGAGUUUGGCUUGUUUAAUCCUGAACGGAACCUCGCUUGAACGCCACGCCAGUAUUGGAUUAUGAUUCUUCAGAGUUAAUCAAUCACUGUUCGUUGUUUUGUUGACAGUAUUGACAGGGCCGCCAAGUCGACAAGCAGACAAGUUUACUUAGCCCUGUGGGAAUUGCCAGUUACAGAAGAAAGUUCAGGUUAGGCCCAGACUCAGUGUCCUUAUCCGUGUGAUAUCUUGUCAUUAUUUAUCUUAUUAUAUGGUUAGUGUUAGAGAUUCAAAAGUCAGUAAAGUAUCUCUCCCUACCAGAGUGACUGAGCAAGCGGGUAUCUCGGUCGAAAGGAAGCUGUUAGAAUAGUGCCUGUAGCAAGUGG
Molecule: long non-coding RNA, 1319 nt
Filed under: Musa acuminata (dwarf banana)
Lineage: Eukaryota; Viridiplantae; Streptophyta; Magnoliopsida; Zingiberales; Musaceae
Description: long non-coding RNA (MACU_LNC007646)
Source: RNAcentral